Molecule: small RNA, 735 nt
Filed under: Pongo abelii (Sumatran orangutan)
Lineage: Eukaryota; Metazoa; Chordata; Mammalia; Primates; Hominidae
Description: processed transcript
Source: RNAcentral
AGAAGAAAACAAAAACAAACAGAGCGAGAAGGGCCUGAGACUCUCCGAGGCGGCGGCAGAGGCAGAAGAGCGGGGUCGGGGCCGGCUGACCAGGGACCUGGGCGAGCAGCGGCGGGGGCCCGAGGGAUCCUGAUAAUUUAAGUGACUCUCUCUUUUCCGGUGAUGAAGAAAGUGCUGGGACUGAGGAAAUAAAGAAUGAAAUAAAUGGAAAUUGGAUUUCAGCAUCCUCCAUUAAUGAAGCUAGAAUUAAUGCCAAGGCAAAAAGGCGACUAAGGAAAAACUCAUCCCGGGACUCUGGCAGAGGCGAUUCGGUCAGCGACAAUGGGAGUGACACCCUUAGAAGUGGAGUAACUGUGCCAACCAGUCCAAAGGGAAGAUUGCUGGAUAGGCGAUCCAGAUCUGGGAAAGGAAGGGGACUACCAAAGAAAGGUGGUGCAGGAGGCAAAGGUGUCUGGGGUACACCUGGACAGGUGUAUGAUGUGGAGGAGGUGGAUGUGAAAGAUCCUAACUAUGAUGAUGACCAGGAGAACUGUGUUUAUGAAACUGUAGUUUUGCCUUUGGAUGAAAGGGCAUUUGAGAAGACUUUAACACCAAUCAUACAGGAAUAUUUUGAGCAUGGAGAUACUAAUGAAGUUGCGGAAAUGUUAAGAGAUUUAAAUCUUGGUGAAAUGAAAAGUGGAGUACCAGUGUUGGCAGUAUCCUUAGCAUUGGAGGGGAAGGCUAGUCAUAGAGAGA